UCUGGAGCCUGCUGGUUUUCUGUUCUACCUGAUAAUUAAUUGCAUCUGAUGUUCCUGGUCUAAAUCAGUCCCAGAUUAGGGGGUAACAAUGGAAAAAAUGCAGUGGAACUGGCUGUGUUGAGUUAGAGGGCUAUAGAUUCUCCAUUCAUUUUACUGAGAAAGGAAGAUAUUUUUAUGGGGGGGGGGCAGGUGCGGGUAGGCAGGCCUACUGGUUUCCAGCUAUUAAAACACUGAGAAACUAGCCACUCUUGAACAUAUAGUCCCUUAUCCUAUUUGAGCCUAUAUCAAACACCAGACUAAAUAGCCUACUUAAAACCUCUACGGGAUCAGUAUCCCUAAACCGGGAUGAUUAAUGCUCGAUAUGCGAUAAUGUGACUAGAAAACGUUGUAUACAACAGCCAACUUUCGGGGACAUAGACAUGUCUUAUAUGGGCAGAAAGCUUAAAUUGUUGUUAAUCUAACUGCAGUGUCCAAUUUACAGUAGCUAUUACAAAAAAAAAAUAACAUGCUAUUGUUUUAGACUGGUGCACAACAAAACACAUGGCAGCUGGUUUGAUACAUUCACCUCUGAAGGUAAAUGAUGUACUUAAAUCAGAGCAAGAUUACUGAAUGUGUCAUCCUGAAGGUCCCAGAGCUGGGAAUUGGGUUUACAGUUUGACCCCACUGCUGUCUCUGGCUCCACCCCCUCCCUCCCACCCAUCUUGAUCUGUGACUUUCUGGAAGUAUGUAAACUUAAAAUGUUUAGUACCAUAUCAUUUUUGUAUGUUCUUUAGUUAUGUACUUAAAUGUAUAAAUUGACAAAUUCGGCAUACUCCGGCAGACUUGCUGCAAAAUAUUGUGUAGUGAGAUCAGUCAAACUUUGCGGUACACUGCUGCCAUCUUGUGGACAAUCUAAAUUACACCUAGGCUCCUAUCUUAAUGUAUGGCCUUCCUUGCGUUUCAAAGAUGAUGAUAAUAACAAACUUUCUAAAAUUGUUUAUUUUACCAGAUCUAAUGUGGUGUUCUCCUACAUUAAUUGCAUAGUUCCACAAACGUCAGUGUUUCUUUUCAAAUGGUAUCAAGAAUAUGCAUAUUCUUGCUACAGGCAGUUAGAUUUGGGUAUGCAAUUUUCAGGUAAAAAUAAGAAUAGGAUUUAUUAAACAUUUGUAUUAUUGGAUAAGGUUUAUAUAGGCCUAUUUCAUACGUUCUGAUGUGUUGAUUAAAUAUUUGUUUAUUGUAAACGACGACAGCAUUUCUUGGCAUGAUCAUCCAUGAAAAGGUCAUUUUUAAAUGUUCAGUAUCAGCCCCAAUUCUAUAUUUUUGUUCAACCACACUAAUUGACUUGGGCAACCACCAUCCUGUCCGGUGUCUCCAGCGCUUUUGACCUUUCAACAGAAGAGGCUCGCGUUCGACAAUGCACUGUGAGGGUUUAAUCCAUAAUUCGGAAUUAGAAUACUAAUUUAAUAGGAUCUCUGAGUUAAUGAACACGACGUAUUAAUAUUUCAUAACCGGCAGAAGUUUGUUUGCUAAAUCCGUAAUGUGCAUUUCACAGCCCUUUUGUUCGUAACUUUUUUUUUUUCUUUUCCUGCCGCUGUUUCUAAUCGAGCUACUUUUAGCUCAUGGAUAGAUUUGCAGGUGGACACGGGAGCGGUGAUGGAGGCGAAGGGGCAGGUAGAGAUGUUCUUUUAGCGCGCUAUGUAAGUGGACCACUACUUGGCAAAGCAUAAAAGGAAUCUGAAGUAGGGAAGCAAGAACAGAUGUAAGGGAGACGACCAAAUUGCUUUGACAAAGACCGGUGUUUUGAUUUUGGUUCCAGGAAUGUAAAAGAACUAAGGAUGAUUGGCAUAACUAUUGCCUUUGUAGUGCGCCUGGAUAAUAGGCCUAAAUGUGAAUAUAUUUCUGAAUACACUGGAUAGUUAGCAUUUUUGUGGACUUUUCAAGCUAUUUUCCCCCAUGUACUUUGAGAAUGCUGUUAAGAAUGCAAAUAUUUUUUGCCCUUCGCAUCCUUGAUAGUACUGACCAGUUUGAUGCAGACAGGAAGACAUGUGACCAGUGAUGGAUUUUUCCUCAUCAGGGUGACAGAAGAGUAUUUCCGUAUCCCUCCGACCAUUCUGAGUGCAGUGAUUAUACAUCACCACAGUCCGACAGAUACUGCAGUACUUCAGCAGGAACCAGGGAACAUUGCAUCUUACAGAUAACUACCUAGGCACCAUGGUAUCUGUGCUUUUUCAUACCCACUUGGUCAGGGACAGGAGCCUCUUUCCUGAACUGGUACCCCUACUUUCCCUGGUCAACCCUGCAGACAUCCAGUCUGACAUCGCUGCCCCCCUUACAGACCAACCUCAUUGUGUAAACAACAACUAUGUCCUACAUUCCUCUGCUCGCUCUCGCUUUCUUCAGGAGAAAUACCAUCAACGGCAACAUCAGGAGCCUGUCGGUGGAGUAGCGCAGGGCCUUGGGAGGUGGUACAGCCGAGCCCUCAGCUCCCUCAACAUGACAGCCGGCGGCCCCUCCUUCAUCAGGGACACUGGUAACCUGAUCGUCUACCUGCCCUUUCACAGCUUCCAGCACCUCUCACCUGCUCAGCUGGGGCAGCUGCAGAAGCUGGGCUCUCUGGUGAGUGGGGUGAAGGUUGAGACUCUGUGGAGCUUGCCCUCUGACAUCCUGCUGUCCUCUCUUUCUGACGUCGCCCUGCACAUGCCCGGCCUCAACCCCCCCCACAGGCCAACACCAUCACCACCUAACUCUGGGGCUCACCAGAGGUGACUGGCUGGUUGGAUAAGGUGGAGCCCCUACUCCCCAGCACCCCUCUACUCAGUGUGCUGACCAGGGCUAGUCUGCUGUUGACCAACAGGACCUUGGCAGGAAGACGAGCCUGGAACACUCAGGCUAAAACUAUUUUUAAAGAAGCAGUGAAGACCAUGCCCAAUCUUUCCACUGAGACGUUUCUUGCCCUUGGAAGCAUUUCUUGAGGUGUAAGCUGCACAGCCCUGCGACAGCUCAUCCGGGACAAGCCAUCAUUUUCCUCAAUGUGGAGUGUCAUUGCAUUCAUGAAAGAGCAGUCUGUUCCUCCAUUCCUCACUGGUACAUGAGCAAAUACUUAACUCAAUUAACUAGCUCAGAGGAAUGUGGUUAACAUUUUGCAUGGUUCCACUGUUAGGUAUAAAGAUAUGUUAUAUAAGCGUAAUUGACAACCCUCAUGCUUUUGUUUCAUCGCGGAGCUGUACUACUUUGACUUCUUCUUUGAGCUGCUGGGAGACAUUGGCGCUCAGAUCGCUCUGGCCCUGCCGUGAGUCGGUCUUACUGCCAUUAAUCAUCACUACAGAUGGUUUGAGCAUCAACAAUGCAUCACUGUCAACGUUGUGUGUGUGUGUGUUCCUGUGUGUGUGUGUGCAUGCUCUUGUCUGUGUGCAUUUGCAGGGUGAGCACUAUUAAGAAGUUCCCUGCUGACAUGACGGAUAAUUUCAAGGAAGAUGAUUGUGCAGGACUCCCAUCACGUCCUGCUCCUACCCAGUACAAAACAGGAUAUUCUGGUGGACAAGAUGGAGCAGAGACUUGACAUGUACACAGGAGAGUUCACUGAGGAUGAGUUCUGCUCACUGGGCAUCAUGGUGACCUAUGUAGUGGAUGAGGUGUUUGUGCAGCUGGUGCGGAGCUUCAUUGUGGAGAGCCUGGAGUUCCUCAGAGUUCUGCUACAACAGCAGCAAGAGGGACAACGUCGCACCUUCGGCCCCGUUCAGAACUGGAGCCCUGAAGACACUCAAUCAAGUGGACAGAUGAUUAUUUUUCUUCCUUCCCAAAGCGACGCUGCAGCAGGUUCCCCAGGAGUGCCAAGAUGGGGGCGCGGUGGCUUCAAGCUGGGCCGUCUGAGGCUGACCUGUUCAGAAGAGCAGCAGCUUUACCGGGACUGCUGAGCCAUAGCCUGGCUUUUGGACCCAUAAGCUCCUGGCGCCAUGAGGUCUUCAUUGAGGUUGGAGCACUGGCAGCUGGCCUCCCAGAUAUGGCCAUGUCAUCUUUGGUGAAGGUUGAAGGACUGACACCAUUCUGGCUGUGUCCCUCAUCCGGGCAGACAAGUGUGAGGAUUCAAAAACACAUGUCAGUUUAUCUUCCAUGUUUUGUAUUGCCUCCUAUCAAAUUGUUGUUUUUCUUUGUGUCCAUGUCGUGUUUGACCCAGCCCAGAAUGUUUCUCCUAUAAACAGCGAUUGAUUUUGUGACGUGUGCAGCUGAUAGCUAUGUCUUCUUUUUUUAAAACUAGGCAAGUCCGUUAAGAACACAUUCUUAUUUUCAAUGAUGGCCUAGGAACAGCCUUUUUCAGGGGCAGAACGACAAAAUUUUCCUUGUCAGCUCGGGAAUUCGAUCUUGCACCACUAGGCUACCUAUCUAGCAAAUUUCACUGAAGUUAACAUUGUCUUGAUCUUAGUCGAGGGUAAUUAAAUUAGAUGCGUAUUAUGUCAGUACAUACUUUCAGCAUGUAUAUUUUGUAACUUUGAGUCUGAAUAAGAAGAGGAAUCAGGAUCGAGUGGAAGAAGGACAGCUCAAGGUUUGAGGGAGUGUUGGAUGUAGGAUGCAAUUGUAUGCUAAUUCUAUUGUUGAGUUGAUGUUGACUUUGUCUCCAUACAGUUAUUGUUGCUUUUGUGUUUGUGUGUCCCCAUGCAGGCAGGUCACCAGGGCUGGCACUGUGCCCUAGUCCUCUCUGUCACCUUCUGGGACUGCUGAUGGUGCUGUUAGUUUCUGCUCUGUAAUGGCCUCCCCUUCUGAUGUGUAACCCUCUCACCCCCAAUGGGCCACGAGGACUCUCUCCCACACAACUACAAUGUUAAACAAUAACGUGUAAUAUAUUUGAGUAAGGCUUUUGUAAUGGAUGGUUAUUCAAAAAAUGCAGAAUUAAGAACAGAUAUAUCCCUUGGUUCACUCCAGACCUGACUGCCCUCGACCAGCACAAA
Long non-coding RNA from Oncorhynchus tshawytscha (Chinook salmon), 4922 nucleotides. RefSeq lists it as uncharacterized. The record is from RefSeq and is a predicted model, not a curated record. Lineage: Eukaryota; Metazoa; Chordata; Actinopteri; Salmoniformes; Salmonidae. The transcript has 13 exons.